UGCGCCGUUAAAUAAAACAUUUCUUUCUUUCUUUUUGGACUGAACGGUGGGGUUUUUGGGGGUUUUUUGGGGUUUUUUUUUUUUUUUAACGUGACGUCGUUUCUUCUCUCAGGUGAUAUGUAUUACUAUUACGUCACACCUAUUGUUUGACGUAAGCAACAUUUAGUAACAAUAUUUGGGCGACGAGACGGGUUACCAUUGAACAGGAACGUGUGCUAGACGGUUUAUCUACAAUAACGGCUUUCUGGCACCUUUCUAUCAGUUGACUGCACUAGACUAUCGGCUUUAAUAGGUUAGAAUGCAUUAAGACGUUUCUUCAGAAACAAGAAGGGGUGGAGUGUCAGUGUGGUACAGCAUCCAUGACUGUGGAACAUUUCCUGCAACAUUGUCCCACCUACCAGAAUCAGAGAAAAGAGCAGUCUGGCCUACAAAUGAACCCCUGAAGGUCCCCGGCAGAGCGUACGACGAAGAAGAAGUGUCUCCGUCUGGCCUGAACAGUCUGGAAUGGUCGCACUCUCUGCUGUCCUUGUUGGUCACCUGGAACUGUGGCAGGACGAUCUGCUCGUUGAUGUCCACUGGUGUGGAAGUGUUGGCCCAUUCUAAGACGACCUUCUCAGAGUCGAAUCCAACUAAAACAAAACGGGGGCAAAAGAUAUGAAGGAAUUAUGUCUUUUCUAAGGAUACAGACUGUGACUGAGACACAACUGAAACAAUUUAAUGUUUUAGUUGUUAUUGUUGUUUUAGUUAUUGGUUUACUUGUUGUUGUUUAGAUCUUAUUGUUGUUUUAGUUGCUGUUUUAGUUGCUAUUGUU
Molecule: long non-coding RNA, 811 nt
Organism: Gigantopelta aegis
Lineage: Eukaryota; Metazoa; Mollusca; Gastropoda; Neomphalida; Peltospiridae
Exons: 3
Source: RefSeq, a predicted model, not a curated record